RNAcentral lists this transfer RNA (75 nucleotides) under Coniochaeta sp. 2T2.1. RNAcentral describes it as "tRNA-Val". Lineage: Eukaryota; Fungi; Ascomycota; Sordariomycetes; Coniochaetales; Coniochaetaceae. The record is from RNAcentral.
GGUUCGAUGGUGUAGUUGGUUUAUCACGUCAGUCUAACACACUGAAGGUCCCCUGUUCAAGCCCGGGUCGAAUCA